This 468-nucleotide ribosomal RNA is filed under the name uncultured bacterium. Its description in RNAcentral is "partial 16S ribosomal RNA". It matches the Rfam family "Bacterial small subunit ribosomal RNA", at positions 28 to 507 of the family's 1533-position model. The record is from RNAcentral.
GACGAACGCUGGCGGCGUGCUUAACACAUGCAAGUCGAACGGAAAGGCCCUGCUUUUGUGGGGUGCUCGAGUGGCGAACGGGUGAGUAACACGUGAGUAACCUGCCCUUGACUUUGGGAUAACUUCAGGAAACUGGGGCUAAUACCGGAGAGGAUCUCCUGCUGCAUGGUGGGGGAUGGAAAGUUUCGGCGGUUGGGGCUCGACUCGCGGCUUAUCAGCUUGUUGGUGGGGUAGUGGAUUACCCAGGCUUUGACGGGUAGCCGGCCUGAGAGGGUGACCGGCCACAUUGGGACCGAGAUACGGCACAGACUCCUACGGGAGGCAGCAGUGGGGAAUACUGCACGAGGGGCGGAAGGCUGGUGCAGCAAGGCCGCGUGUCGUAUGACGGCCUUCGGGUUGUAAACCGCAUUCGCCUGUGACGAAGCGUGAGUGACGGUAAUGGGUACAGAAGCCCCGGCUAACUACGUG